UACGUAGGCAGCGAGCGUUGUUCGGAGUUACUGGGCGUAAAGGGUGCGCAGGCGGUGGAGCAAGUCUGUUGUGAAAUCUCCCGGCUUAACCGGGGGGGUGCGGCGGAAACUGUUCUGCUGGAGUGAGGGAGAGGCAAGCGGAAUUCCUGGUGUAGCGGUGAAAUGCGUAGAUAUCAGGAGGAACACCCGUGGUGCAGACGGCUUGCUGGACCUCCACUGACGCUGAGUGCGCGAAAGCCAGGGGAGCAAACGGG
RNAcentral lists this ribosomal RNA (254 nucleotides) under uncultured bacterium. Its description in RNAcentral is "partial 16S ribosomal RNA". It matches the Rfam family "Bacterial small subunit ribosomal RNA", at positions 524 to 776 of the family's 1533-position model. The record is from RNAcentral.